RNAcentral lists this transfer RNA (71 nucleotides) under Fukomys damarensis (Damara mole-rat). It matches the Rfam family "tRNA". From Rfam's summary of the family: Transfer RNA (tRNA) molecules are approximately 80 nucleotides in length. Their secondary structure includes four short double-helical elements and three loops (D, anti-codon, and T loops). Further hydrogen bonds mediate the characteristic L-shaped molecular structure. tRNAs have two regions of fundamental functional importance: the anti-codon, which is responsible for specific mRNA codon recognition, and the 3' end, to which the tRNAs corresponding amino acid is attached (by aminoacyl-tRNA synthetases). tRNAs cope with the degeneracy of the genetic code in two manners: having more than one tRNA (with a specific anti-codon) for a particular amino acid; and 'wobble' base-pairing, i.e. permitting non-standard base-pairing at the 3rd anti-codon position. The record is from Rfam by way of RNAcentral. Lineage: Eukaryota; Metazoa; Chordata; Mammalia; Rodentia; Bathyergidae.
GGGGGUGAAGCUCAAUGGCAGAGCCCUUGCCUAGCAUGCAUGAGGCCUGGGUUCAGUCCCCAGCACUGCAA